UCCAGUUGAUCCUGCUGGCGGCUGCGGCUCUCUGGUUUGCACUUAGACAUGCAAGUUGUUUCUCUUAGAAAUAGGAGGAAAGCGAACUGCUCAGUAACACGUAGCUAACCUACACUUAGGUCAAGGAUAACCUCGGGAAACUGAGGCUAAACCCUGAUAAAUGUGAGACCCUGGAAAGAACUCACAUUCAAACUCGCGCCUAAGGAUGGGGCUGCGGCGGAUUAGGUAGUUGGCGGGGUAAUAGCCCACCAAGCCUGUGAUCCGUAAGGGCUCUUAGCGGAGAGGCCCUGAGAGGGAAUCUGAGACACUAUUCCCAGCCCUACGGGGUGCAGCAGUUAGGAAUCAUCUGCAAUGCGCGAAAGCGUGACAGUUUGAACCAGAGUGCUUCUCAAUUGAGAAGCUUUUGCCAAAUGUAAAAAGUUUGGCGAAUAAGGACUGGGUAAGACGAGUGCCAGCCGCCGCGGUAAUACUCGCGGUCCAAGUCGCAGCCACAAUUAUUGGGUCUAAAACAUCCGUAGCUUGUCUGGUAAGUUCCUUGUGAAAUCUUAUCUCUUGAAGAUGAGGCGUGCGAGGAAUACUGCCAGACUAGAGACCGGUAGACGCAGGAAGUAUGUUCGAAGUAGCGGUAAAAUGCUUUAAUCUCGGACAGACUCACAACAGCGAAGGCAUCCUGCGAGAACGGUUCUGACUGUCAGGGAUGAAGGCUAGGGGCGCAAAGUGGAUUAGAUACCCAUGUAGUCCUAGCAGUAAACACUGCACACUAAACAUCAGUACCUCCUCGAGAGGCAUUGGUGCUGCAGCGAAGGCGAAGAGUGUGCUACCUGGGAAGUAUAGUCGCAAGGCCGAAACUUAAAGGAAUAGGCGGGGAGACACUACAACGGGUGACGCGUGCGGUUCAAUUAGAUUCUACACCGUGAACCUCACCAGGACCGACAGCAGAAUGAAGGUCAGUCUGAAGGGCUUACCUGACACGCUGAGAGGAGUUGCAUGGCCGACGUAAGCCUGUGUCGUGAGAUGACCUGUUAAAUCAGGUAACAGGCGAGACCCACAUGUAUAUUUACUACGUGUACAAUAUACAGAUUGCCUCGGUAACGUGGAUGAAAGCGUGGGCAACGUUAGGUGAGUACAGCCUGAAUGCCCUGGGCGACACGCGCGCGUCAAUGGUGGAUACAGUGGGAUGCGACUCCGAAAGGAGAAGCUAAUCUCUUAAAGUCCAUCUCAGUCCAGAUUGAAGCUUGCAAUUCAGCUUCAUGACGCUGGAAUCCGUAGUAAUCGUUUGUUAGCAGCGAACGGUGAAUACGUCACUGUCUCUUGCACUCACUGCCCGUCAAACCAACCAAGUUGUGUUAUGGUGAAACCAGUUUUGGGAGAACCUUAGCAUGGUGAGGUAGGUUAAGUCGUCACAAGGUAUCUGUAGGGGAACCUGCAGAUG
RNAcentral lists this ribosomal RNA (1432 nucleotides) under Nanoarchaeota archaeon SCGC AAA011-D5. RNAcentral describes it as "bacterial SSU rRNA". It matches the Rfam family "Archaeal small subunit ribosomal RNA". Lineage: Archaea; Nanobdellati; Nanobdellota. The record is from RNAcentral.